Long non-coding RNA from Leopardus geoffroyi (Geoffroy's cat), 2209 nucleotides. RefSeq lists it as uncharacterized. NCBI's taxonomy places the organism in Eukaryota, Metazoa, Chordata, Mammalia, Carnivora, Felidae. The transcript is spliced from 4 exons. The record is from RefSeq and is a predicted model, not a curated record.
UAAACUCCCAUGGGAUAAAUGCUCUCAUUUGGUGCUCAGGACAGCUCAGGACAGUAAAGACAGAUGGUCUCCCCAUGGAAAAGGCUUGGCCCCUGAGGCUCAGGGAGGCUGAGUGACAGGCUGCAUGUCACAGAGCUAAGAAGUAUGGUAGUAGGGAAUGGGCCAGUAGUUUCCAGGUUUCCUGCCCCAGCGAUCCUGGUAUCAUCCCACACCAUGCUCAGGUCUUUAGCUACUUUAUCUCUGAAUCCAAAGCAUGCACUCAUAGGCACUCCAGAGGUCCAUGUAAGUAUCAUUUUUCUCUCCGAAGAAGCCUGUCUUUUUUCUUCAAGGAAUAAAUUCAGAGCUUGAGACAAUUGGUCCGGUUCUUUCUCUCUUUCAGUAAACGUGGAAAUGCAUCCUUUAAAACAUGCACCUCCCGCCCUUGAAAAUACAAGUGUGUUUCCUUCCCCUGUAACCCUGCAACAGAGAAUUUGGUCACAGGUCUGUUUUAUGACUUGAUUUUUCUAAAACAAUGAACAGGACUGGGAAAACUUCCUUCAGAGUCCCCAGUGGCCUAACCUUAUCCUUUGUCCCCCAGACCUAACUCUCUCUUUACACAGUUGGACUGGAGUCAAUUCUAAACUUCUUGGGAGACAACCUUCUGUUCAGAUUCCCACUGACCCUAAGACUUAUUACACCACUCUUUUCCCCUCAAACCUGAUUCUCUUGUUCUUCAAUUCCUUCUUUUGAUCAAUGGCACCAUUUAUAAGUAAAAGUCUGAGGAAUGACUCCUCCUUCUUCCUCCCAUAGCAAGCAGACUGUAAAAUGACCCCCAAUGAUCCUCACCUCCUGAUGUUCCCACUCUGGUAUAAUCCCCUCCUGUGAGUGUGGGCAGGACAUGUGAUUUGCUUCUAACCCAUGGGAUAUAGCAAAGGUGAUGAAAUGUCACUGCUAUGAUUCAGGUCCAUAUGAUUGUGACUUCUGUCUUGCUAGAAGGCUUUCUCCUUCUUACUGACUUAGACAAAGCAAGCUGCUAUGGUGGGGAGGCCCAGAUGGAGAGAUGCUGAGGGCAGCCACUGACUAGUAGCUGGCAAGGAAUUGAGGCCCUCAGCGCAACUGAAUUCCGAUAACCAAUGACCAUGUGAGCUUGGAAGUGGAUGCUUCUCCAGUUGAGCCUUCAGAUAAGAUCUGAGCCCUGGCUGAUAAGCUGAGAGCUCUUGUAUCUCUAUGUUUUUCUGUACUCCGUCUGCCUCUGCUUUGUGUCAGUCCUCAUUUGGAUAAAACAACUGCCCCCAUAUCAAUCAGGGUCCCAGCAGGGAGCCAACAGGUACUCCCAAAGGAUUUAACUGAGGAGUGGUAUGGACGGGGUUGAAGGACUGGUAACAACAGGACACCAUUAUCAUCCCAGGCCUAAAAGGCCAGGAGGAGUGAAUCGUGAUGCCAGAGGUUGAUGAAAGCAGGAAUACAAAAAGAGUUGUCUGGCCAGAGCUGUGACUGUAGGUAGAGAAAGAACACAGCUGCUGUCUGAACUGCGGACAGGUUGUCUCCCAGGGGAGUUAAUUUGCCCACACGGCUGGUUGUUCUGGCAUCAGAGCAAGCCCUGUGGAGUGAGAAAGUCCCCAGGAGGAGCAGCAAAGAGUGACAGGCACCUGAGUUGUCACAAGCUGAAGCUGUCUUCCCAGCUGUAGAAAAUAGCUGUGGCACUACCCACCCCCUACUGCCAUCAUUAAGAGCACAUGGGCUCCGUGUCUACCUCUGUCCUGAGCCAAUGUUCAGGACAACGUCCAGGACUGUGGCCCUGGAAUUUCCAAUGUGCUCUGGGACCAAGAUUGUCUGGAUUAUAACAAAUUUUGGCACAAGUGUGUUGAAAACACAUGAAAGUAAACCAAAGGGAUAAAAAUGGUGAGUUCUGUACAAUUCAUUCAUUUGUUCAUUCAUUCAUUCAUUCAUUCAUAAAUUUACUCAAAUAUUACUGAUCCAGCAACACAUUUCUAGACUCACGGUAGGUCCUUAGUGUUUGUGGGAUUGCCCAGACAGGGACAGGUACAGAAGUAUGUCCCCCAGGGCUACUGAGAGCCAGGUGGGGAAGACUGGUGUACUCCACUCUUGUUUUCCUCCCACUCAACUCAAGGUGCAGACUCCUCUCAUGGCUCAGGAUGGGUGGAGUUCAGUUGGGAAAAGCGCAUUCUUUUUUUUUUUUUAAUUUUUAAAAAUGUUUUAUUUUAUUUUU